UCAGUGAUAGCAACAUCUCUAGCGGUUCCCGGAAAUUCUUUCAAUUAUUCAUCCGACUGCUCCGAUAGAAUUCCCAAACGUCAGAGAGACGGAGAAGAGAUUGAAACCUCCACUUGUACUGUCUUCAUACGAUUCCUUUUUCUCCCUCCACGAAUAUUAUCUCGCAAAUCCCAACGGUGGAAGCGUGCGGAAUUGAAUUUCGAACAACAUAUCCAAAUUUCACAAUAAUCCAACGGUUAACGAAACCGGGAUCGUAGUUUUACCAAGACAGCUCUGAAUUUCUGCGGGAAAGAAAAAGGCUACAAUGCGAAGGGUUUUUCUCUCAUUUCAGACAUGAUAUCGAAAUUCCCAACGGUGAGAAUGCUCGGAAUUGUGUUGCGAACAUGAUACUCAAAUUUCACGACGAUCCAACGGUGAACGGAUUCGAGAUCGUCGUUUUUCUGAUACUGGUUUGGUGGGCUGCGGGAAAAAGUAAGGGUUUUGAGAGGAGAAGGGGAAAAACG
Molecule: long non-coding RNA, 503 nt
Filed under: Glycine max (soybean)
Lineage: Eukaryota; Viridiplantae; Streptophyta; Magnoliopsida; Fabales; Fabaceae
Description: long non-coding RNA (GMAX_LNC000237)
Source: RNAcentral